RNAcentral lists this ribosomal RNA (492 nucleotides) under uncultured bacterium. Its description in RNAcentral is "partial 16S ribosomal RNA". It matches the Rfam family "Bacterial small subunit ribosomal RNA", at positions 29 to 507 of the family's 1533-position model. The record is from RNAcentral.
AGUGAACGCUGGCGGUAGGCCUAACACAUGCAAGUCGAACGGCAGCACAGUAAGAGCUUGCUCUUACGGGUGGCGAGUGGCGGACGGGUGAGGAAUACAUCGGAAUCUACUUUUUCGUGGGGGAUAACGUAGGGAAACUUACGCUAAUACCGCAUACGACCUACGGGUGAAAGCAGGGGAUCUUCGGACCUUGCGCGAUUGAAUGAGCCGAUGUCGGAUUAGCUAGUUGGCGGGGUAAAGGCCCACCAAGGCGACGAUCCGUAGCUAGUCUGAGAGGAUGAUCAGCCACACUGGAACUGAGACACGGUCCAGACUCCUACGGGAGGCAGCAGUGGGGAAUAUUGGACAAUGGGCGCAAGCCUGAUCCAGCCAUACCGCGUGGGUGAAGAAGGCCUUCGGGUUGUAAAGCCCUUUUGUCGGGAAAGAAAAGCAGCAGGUUAAUACCCCGCUGUUCUGACGGUACCCAAAGAAUAAGCACCGGCUAACUUCGUG